This 305-nucleotide ribosomal RNA is filed under the name uncultured bacterium. RNAcentral describes it as "bacterial SSU rRNA". It matches the Rfam family "Bacterial small subunit ribosomal RNA", at positions 333 to 657 of the family's 1533-position model. The record is from RNAcentral.
CCACCUACGGGACGCAGCAGUGGGGAAUAUUGCACAAUGGGGGAAACCCUGAUGCAGCAACGCCGCGUGAGUGAAGAAGUAUUUCGGUAUGUAAAGCUCUAUCAGCAGGGAAGAAGAUGACGGUACCUGAGUAAGAAGCCCCGGCUAACUACGUGCCAGCGGCCGCGGUAAUACGUAGGGGGCAAGCGUUAUCCGGAUUCACUGGGCGUAAAGGGAGCGCAGGCGGCACGGCAAGUCUGAUGUGAAAACCCGGGGCUCAACCCCGGGACUGCAUUGGAAACUGCCGGGCUGGAGUGUCGGAGGGG